UACGUAGGGUGCGAGCGUUAAUCGGAAUUACUGGGCGUAAAGCGUGCGCAGGCGGUUUUGUAAGUCAGAUGUGAAAUCCCCGGGCUUAACCUGGGAAUGGCAUUUGGGACUGCAAGGCUUGAGUGUGGCAGAGGAGACUGGAAUUCCUGGUGUAGCAGUGAAAUGCGUAGAUAUCAGGAGGAACACCGAUGGCGAAGGCAGGUCUCUGGGCUAACACUGACGCUCAUGCACGAAAGCGUGGGGAGCAAACAGG
RNAcentral lists this ribosomal RNA (253 nucleotides) under uncultured bacterium. Its description in RNAcentral is "partial 16S ribosomal RNA". It matches the Rfam family "Bacterial small subunit ribosomal RNA", at positions 524 to 776 of the family's 1533-position model. The record is from RNAcentral.